UACGGAGGAUGCGAGCGUUAUCCGGAUUUAUUGGGUUUAAAGGGUGCGUAGGCGGGAUGCCAAGUCAGCGGUAAAAAUGCGGUGCUCAACGCCGUCGAGCCGUUGAAACUGGCGUUCUUGAGUGGGCGAGAAGUAUGCGGAAUGCGUGGUGUAGCGGUGAAAUGCAUAGAUAUCACGCAGAACUCCGAUUGCGAAGGCAGCAUGCCGGCGCCCUACUGACGCUGAGGCACGAAAGCGUGGGUAUCGAACAGG
RNAcentral lists this ribosomal RNA (252 nucleotides) under uncultured bacterium. Its description in RNAcentral is "partial 16S ribosomal RNA". It matches the Rfam family "Bacterial small subunit ribosomal RNA", at positions 524 to 776 of the family's 1533-position model. The record is from RNAcentral.